UCCGAGCUGGGUAACUCUAGCUUGUAACCCAAGUGGGGGCAUCAAGGUGAUGGAACAUGGCUAUGGAUGUGCUCUGCUAGGUUGGUAGUUGCACCAUGUUGGCGUGCCCACUCUACCCACUCCAAGUUGAUAGUUGAGGCAUGAUGCUUGGGCUAAGGCUCAGGUGUCAUGACUCCUAGACAAGAGGGCAUAGCGUGAGGUUGGUUUCACAGAGCAGCGAGCACCUCUGGCUCCUAACAGUGGAGGGAUCACAUGCUACUGCACUUUCAUCCCAUUAUAGCCUAGCUAGCCAAGCUACUUGAACCAUCACUUUU
This is a non-coding RNA of Lupinus albus (white lupine), 314 nucleotides long. The record is from the annotation of a GenBank genome assembly. Lineage: Eukaryota; Viridiplantae; Streptophyta; Magnoliopsida; Fabales; Fabaceae.